CGCCUGCCCUGUGACAAAUGUUUAACGGCCGCGGUAUUUUGACCGUGCAAAGGUAGCGCAAUCACUUGUCUUUUAAAUGAAGACCUGUAUGAAUGGCAUGACGAGGGCUUAACUGUCUCCUUUUUCCAGUCAAUGAAAUUGAUCUUCCCGUGCAGAAGCGGGAAUAUAACCAUAAGACGAGAAGACCCUAUGGAGCUUUAGACACAAGACAGUUCUUGUUAAGCACUUCAAAAAUAAAGAAAUAAACUAAAAGAACCCUGCCCUGCUGUCUUUGGUUGGGGCGACCACGGGGAGAUAAAUAACCCCCACGCGGACUGAGAAUACAAUUCUCACAACCAAGAGUUACAACUCUAAUCAACAGAAAUUCUGACCUUAAGAUCCGGCAGUGCCGAUCAACGGACCGAGUUACCCUAGGGAUAACAGCGCAAUCCCCUUUUAGAGUCCAUAUCGACAAGGGGGUUUACGACCUCGAUGUUGGAUCAGGACAUCCUAAUGGUGCAGCAGCUAUUAAGGGUUCGUUUGUUCAACGAUUAAAGUCCU
This 540-nucleotide ribosomal RNA is filed under the name Betta simplex. RNAcentral describes it as "partial 16S ribosomal RNA". It matches the Rfam family "Bacterial large subunit ribosomal RNA", at positions 1856 to 2597 of the family's 2925-position model. The record is from RNAcentral. Lineage: Eukaryota; Metazoa; Chordata; Actinopteri; Anabantiformes; Osphronemidae.